This 466-nucleotide ribosomal RNA is filed under the name Vreelandella stevensii. Its description in RNAcentral is "partial 16S ribosomal RNA". It matches the Rfam family "Bacterial small subunit ribosomal RNA", at positions 338 to 795 of the family's 1533-position model. The record is from RNAcentral. Lineage: Bacteria; Pseudomonadati; Pseudomonadota; Gammaproteobacteria; Oceanospirillales; Halomonadaceae.
CCUACGGGCGGCAGCAGUGGGGAAUAUUGGACAAUGGGCGAAAGCCUGAUCCAGCCAUGCCGCGUGUGUGAAGAAGGCCUUCGGGUUGUAAAGCACUUUCAGUGGGGAAGAAAGCCUUGGGGCUAAUACCCUCGAGGAAGGACAUCACCCACAGAAGAAGCACCGGCUGAACUCCGUGCCAGCAGCCGCGGUAAUACGGAGGGUGCGAGCGUUAAUCGGAAUUACUGGGCGUAAAGCGCGCGUAGGCGGUCUGAUAAGCCGGUUGUGAAAGCCCCGGGCUCAACCUGGGAACGGCAUCCGGAAAUGUCAGGCUAGAGUGAAGGAGAGGAAGGUAGAAUUCCCGGUGUAGCGGUGAAAUGCGUAGAGAUCGGGAGGAAUACCAGUGGCGAAGGCGGCCUUCUGGACUGACACUGACGCUGAGGUGCGAAAGCGUGGGUAGCAAACAGGAUUAGAUACCCGGGUAGUC